Molecule: long non-coding RNA, 4889 nt
Filed under: Sus scrofa (pig)
Lineage: Eukaryota; Metazoa; Chordata; Mammalia; Artiodactyla; Suidae
Description: lncRNA (ENSSSCG00025052252.1)
Source: RNAcentral
GGGGUGUGGAAAGAGAGGGUGCCUCGUCAUUCAGAAGAGAGAGGAUGAUGGCACCCUUGGGGUCCGGCAGGACUUUAUUUAAAAGGGGUCCUGGAAGGCUGAUAGGAUUUGGCUGAACAGAAGGGAUAUCUACAAGGAGACACGUUUAGGAAACAUUUUGGAAAGUGCCUCACCAUAACAGCUGGAACUCUGUGGUUUUAUGGAGUAAACGAACACUGCGACCUUGCAGUAAGUGGAGGGUUUGUGUUAGCAGGAAGCUUGAGAAGGGGCUGUACGGGUAGAAUCUCCAGCCUUUGGCUGGUUAGGAACUUUUGAUAGUCGUUGUUGGGCAUGAUCUGAACCAAGUGGUAGAUGAGAAACUUGCGUUGAGCUGAGACAUAGUUGAGGGAUUGGAGGGGGAGAUCAGAAGCGUGAAAACCGUGGCUAGAGUGGUUGUCUGUGUAAAGUGAGGCAAGCUGAGACCGGCAGGGCCGAGUAGGGCCGAGCCGAAAAGGUAUUGGGAAGAAUCAGCAGGACAAAACAGUUGAGAAUGACUGGUGUGGGCUGCUGGGAGGACCCAGUCCCAAGAGGUCAGGCACAGUGCUCACUGCUCUUCCAGGCAUGUUCCAGAGAGGCUUUAAAUGAAGUAAAUAAAGAAGCUUCUGUUAAAAUGUUUGAUUAAAUACAUAUAGUGAGUGCUUUUAAAAUGCUGAUGGGGCAAGAUGGCAGAUAAUAUAGCAGUUUUAGGAGAGUUUAUUGUUUGAGGUUCUGGUGUAGAGAUUUGAUUCCCAGCACAAGUCCCAGUAAGUAAUGAGCCAUGUAAUAAUAGGGCUCUGCUCUUAAUUAUGGUGAGUACUCUCAAUGAAAUCGAAUUUUCUUAGUACCAUCCGUGGAAAAAAAUUUAACUCUGACUUUACAUAACAGUCCCAGAUAGAGUGUGAACUCUGUGGAUAUGGGAUAGUGACAGAAAAAAAGAGGAAACAAAUCUCCAAUAUUUGCAGAAAAUGUAAGCUCAGAUUAUAACAUAAAUAUAUGAGUGUUUGUGGCGGCUCUGUUGAAGUUGUUACUAGCUAGACUCUAAACCCCAGCACAAACCCCUUCCAGAUUUCAUCAUCACGACUGGUUCUCGGUUAGAUUUUGAGGAGUUCCCAUCGUGGCUUAGCGGAAACAGAUCUGACUAGCAUCCAUGAAGAUGCAGGUUCAAUCCCUGGCCUCACUCAGUGGGUUAAGGAUCCAGCAUUGCCGUGAACUGUGGUGUAGGUCACAGAUGUGGCUCAGAUCUGACAUUGCUGUGGCUGUGGUGUAGGCUGGCAGCUACAACUCCAAUUCAACCUCUAGCCUGGAAACUUUCAUAUGCCGUGCAUAUGGCCCUAAAAAGAUGAACAAAACAAAACAAAACAAUUCAGUUUUAUUGAAUUGCUUCUGCAAAUGAUAGUGGGGGAAGGGGAGAGAUUGCUAAUGAAUACUUUUCCUUUGUUUUUUUUAAGACUUUUUGGGGUAAUGACCAACUGUAUUUUCAGCUAGUCAGCCUGUCAUGUGGGUGUGGAAUGCACCUGCAGGUGUGAGGAGAAUUAGGGGGGUGAGUCCAUUGGAACAGUCCCCAGCGAGAUGCCCUGCACCAGGUUUUCUGUGGGCACCUGUAGGAAUGGGCAGCUCUCUCUCCCUGAGGCCACUGGGCACUGCCAGUAAGUGCCACCAGCCACUUAGGAAGAAAUCAUGUGUGAUAUUUAUGAUGGACGUAUGAGCGCUAGGUAUAACUCCUGGUUUGCCUUUCACAGGUCGGGUGACCGUCUGCAGAUCCUAGCCAUUGGAAAGAUGAGCGUUAUAACUCACAGGGUCAUUCUGGCCAGCCCACGGUGCCUGGUUGGCAUGUAGAGAAUGUAUUAUUUCUGUUCUCUUCUGGGGGCCUCUGGAAAGCAGACCGAGGUUUAAAAAGAUGUUGUCAAAAUUCUUUCCUUUGAAAUCAAUCUGUGUUGACUCAUAAUUUGAGUACUCCUUUAGUACAGUUAUUAAAUAUAGUUACAUAAUUAGCUCACACACAUGCCUAUUUAACCUGUGAGGGCAGAAUUUUGAUUAUGUAGGUCCCAUGGCUUAAGAAAAUGGGGUUUUCUCUUCAACUUGUCUUUAAACUAGAUCUCAAAUUAGCGGACAUUGAUUUCAGAAUUCAGCCUUUAGGAUUCCUCAGAAGUUUUUCUUGCCUUUCAUUUGUCGCUCCCUUAACAUCUCCCCUGCUUUUUUUCAUUUGCUCUUUUCAUGUUGUCAGGGUUUUUUGUUUGUUUUUACGUUUUCUCUCCUGAAACUUUGCACUCAGAGAUAGGAGUAAAGGCCUAUUUUGAGGCAGUAGGAUGGACAGUGUGCUUUCUUUCAUCUCAGUGUAUUAUUGUUUUGCUAACAUGCCUUUUUGCUCUGAAGAUAUAAAUUCACAACUGGAGAAAGAAUCCCAAACUUCAUAAUAACUCUGUAGUUUCCUGAGUGCUUAUUGUGUGCCAAGUACAGGGCAUUUUAGUACAUUAGCUGAUGUCUUCUCAUCCAUAGUGAAGAGACGAAGGCGCCUUGGAGAGUCAGGCCUGGCUGCUUGCUGUGACCGUGCUCCUGACCUGUUCUCUUGUUCCCCCUUGUUCAGUCCCAGGGACAGGGUGGUUUUUAUUAUCUUUAAAGACCUAAGAGAUCUUGGGGCCCUGACUUUGAUGGAUGGCAUUUGGCCUAUUUUAAUUACAAAAACUUAUCAAAUGUUAACAUAAAUUACCUGUGUCUAGUGGGUUCAUAGCCCCAAAUAGUGUCGUUUGGGGUCUUAAAGUGUGUUGAACUGAUUUUGAUGUGUUUAUAAGAGACAUUAUCACUGUUUGAAAAACCCGAUAGUGCUCUUUCCUCCCUGAUUUCUAAUUCUGGCAUCUAGAAUGCAGCUGAGACAAGAGCACGUCUGUGAGACAAACAGAGAUCUCAUGAGAGCUCAUGGAUUAACUUUUUUCCACCACAGCAGCAGGUUUUUCUUAAAGCGUUGUUUGAAAAUUAACAUUACUGAAAAUUUAAGCCUACCUAAAGGGAUUCUAGUUUUGAUCUCAAUUAUAAAAAGUAGGAAGACAUUUCAUAAAAAUCUGUGUCCCCUUAGCACUAGAAUGCUUUGGCUGUGAGUGGGAUAAGCUAGAAGUAAGCUGCCUUUGAUAGACGUGAGCGGUGUGUGAUAACUGUCUCUAUCUAUUCAACUACUUCCUGUUCAAUCUCACAUCGCAGCUGGAAAGCAAUUUCCUCACUUGACCCAUUUUUCUUCUGUAUUGUGUCUUUCUUCUGGUUCUUUAACAAAUAGUUUGAAGGAAUGGAGUGUCGUAAAGCCUUACACACUUGUAAGGUGAGGCAAUUCAGGCACCUGCUUUGGAAUAAGCAUACUCUCUUGUGUUUCAUUAUUUGGCUCCCUGGUUGGGUGGAUAACAGUUUUGCUCCUUUACUUUCAUGUCACUGUUUUCAGAAGAGAGAGAUUUUAAAGCUUGAAAAUGGUAGGCAUUUGAGUAAAGACAAAAACAGGUGUAUGGGGGUAAGGAUCUUGUUUUAGUAACAUGGACAAUUUAUGAAUGUUAUAAUUUUAGUAAGCAUAUAUGCAGUAAGUCUAGCAUUAAUAGAUCCACAUUGUAAAAUGCCUGUUUAUCCAAAGACGGAGGUCUCUUGGUAUCAUUGGCUUGUUACUGUUAAUGCCACCCUUAGUCACAGGUAUGACGUUAUCAUGUGAUAACUUUUGUCCCACACCCAUGGCUUAUAGAGUGCUUGGGUUGCCUUCUCUUUUUGCCAGAUCAAAUUCUAAAUGUCCUAACACACCGAACAUAACGCCAGUCUCCUUCUUGAAACCAUCUCUGACUUUACGUGUAUAAGCUCUCUCUUUUCUGUUUCUGCUCACACCUUUGGGGACCUCACUUAGCCCUGUGACUUUAAAUUUACCACACAUACCCUGAAGACUCCUAGGUUUUUGCUUGUUUUGUGAGGGGGUUUUUUGGCCAGCCUGGACUGCAUAGAUAUUUGCAUAUCUAGUUGCCUUCUCACCACCUGCACAGGACUGUUUAGUGAGCAUUUCCAGCCCACAGGGCCAGACCUGGCCCUGCUCUUGCCCCAGGACCACUCUGCCUGCACUCCUCUCUGUCUUCCUCGAGAGCGCUUACCCCCUUCUGGUCGCUCCAGUCUAAACCCUAGAGUCUUCCUUGGCUCCCUCUUUCUUUCCAUGUACAGUACAUAAGAAACUAAGAGAUUUCUAAGUGAUCCAUGGGUCAAAGAAGAGAAAUACUUGGAACUAAAUUUAAAAAACCAAAUACAACAUAUCAGAAAUCAUAUGAUGCUGCUAAGCUGUGCUAAGAGGGAAAUUUAUGGCAUUAAAUGUCUCUAUUGGAAAAGGAGAACGAUCUCAGAUCAGUAAUUUAAGCGUUUAUCUUAUUCCAAAAAGUGAAGAACAAACUAAACCCAAUAGCAAGUAAAAAGAAGGAGAUAAAGGUUAGAGUGGAAGUCAGUGACGUAGAAACAGAAAGCAGUAGAAAGGAUCAAUAGAACCAAAAUUAAUUGGUUAAUUGAAAAUUAAUUUCAGCCGGUUAAUUGAAGAUAUCAGCAAAAUUGACAAACCUGUAGCUAGAUUGACCAAGAAAAAGAGAGAAGAUACAAGGUACCAAAAUCAAGAAUGAAGAGGGGCGUUGAGUAUUGAUCUUACAGAAAUUAAGUUGAUAGUCUGAAUAACUUUGUACCAACAAGUUAGAUAGCUUAUAUGAAAUGGACAAAAUUCUAGAAAUAGGCAAAUUGCCAAAACUGACUCAAGAAAAAUGAAAAGUCUGAAUAGACAUAUAAUGAGUAAAGAAAUUGAAUUGAUAAUUAACAAUUUUGCCACAAAGAAAAGCCCAAGUUAUUUUGGCUUCAGUGGUAAAUUCUGUCAGACAUAUAAA